CAAAUCCGUCAUGCAACCCGAGAAUGUGACGCGGAGCGAACAAAAGUAGCGAAGCAUGCUUACCGGCUGUCGAGAAGAGCCGCUAUUGUGUUUAAUGUACCCGUACCGUAAACCGACACAGGUGGAUGAGGAGAGAAUCCUAAGGCCGGCGGGAGAAGCAUUGUUAAGGAACUCGGCAAAAUGACCCCGUAACUUCGGGAGAAGGGGUGCUCUUAGAAAUAAGAGCCGCAGAGAAUUGGCCCAAGCAACUGUUUAGCAAAAACACAGGUCUAUGCAAAACCGAAAGGUGAGGUAUAUGGGCUGACGCCUGCCCGGUGCUGGAAGGUUAAGAGGAGAGGUCAGAGCAAUCGAAGCCUUGAAUUUAAGCCCCAGUAAACGGCGGCCGUAACAAUAACGGUCCUAAGGUAGCGAAAUUCCUUGUCGGGUAAGUUCCGACCCGCACGAAAGGCGUAAUGAUUUGGGCACUGUCUCGACAAUGCACCCGGUGAAAUUGAAAUACCAGUGAAGAUGCUGGUUACCUGCGCCAGGACGGAAAGACCCCAUGGAGCUUUACUCUAGUUUGAUACUGGGAUUCGGUAUUGCAUGUACAGGAUAGGUGGGAGGCUGUGAAGCGAUGACGCCAGUUGUCGCAGAGCCGCUGUUGGGAUACCACCCCUGCAGUACUGGGUUUCUAACCUGCGGCCGUAAUCCGGCCGGGGGACAAUGUCUGACGGGGAGUUUGACUGGGGCGGUCGCCUCCGAAAGGGUAUCGGAGGCGCUCAAAGGUUCCCUCAGAAUGGUUGGAAACCAUUCGAAGAGUGCAAAGGCAGAAGGGAGCUUGACUGCGACACCGACGGGUGGAGCAGGUACGAAAGUAGGACUUAGUGAUCCGGUGGUAUGAAAGUGGGAUUGCCAUCGCUCAACGGAUAAAAGCUACCCUGGGAUAACAGGCUUAUCACUCCCAAGAGUUCACAUCGACGGAGUGGUUUGGCACCUCGAUGUCGGCUCAUCGCAUCCUGGGGCUGUAGUAGGUCCCAAGGGUUGGGCUGUUCGCCCAUUAAAGCGGUACGCGAGCUGGGUUCAGAACGUCGUGAGACAGUUCGGUCCCUAUCCGGCGUGGGCGUAGGAUAUCUGAGAGGAGCUGUCCUUAGUACGAGAGGACCGGGAUGGACUGACCUCUGGUGUACCGGUUGCACUGCCAAGUGCAUGGCCGGGUAGCCAAGUCGGGACGGGAUAAACGCUGAAGGCAUCUAAGCGUGAAGCCCCCCUCAAGAUGAGAUAUCCCAUAGAGUAAUCUAGUAAGACCCCUUGAAGACGACGAGGUAGAUAGGUGAAAGGUGGAAGCGUGGUGACAUGUGGAGCUGAUUCAUACUAAUAGGUCGAGGGCUUAAU
This 1371-nucleotide ribosomal RNA is filed under the name metagenome. Its description in RNAcentral is "bacterial LSU rRNA". It matches the Rfam family "Bacterial large subunit ribosomal RNA", at positions 1537 to 2925 of the family's 2925-position model. The record is from RNAcentral.